This 216-nucleotide unclassified non-coding RNA is filed under the name Glomus sp. RNAcentral's name for it is "partial contains 5.8S ribosomal RNA and internal transcribed spacer 2". The stretch from base 1 to 65 matches the Rfam family "5.8S ribosomal RNA", at positions 84 to 154 of the family's 154-position model. Lineage: Eukaryota; Fungi; Glomeromycota; Glomeromycetes; Glomerales; Glomeraceae. The record is from RNAcentral.
GUGAAUCAUCAAAUUUUUGAACGCAAAUUGCGCUCUCUCCGGAGAGUAUGCCUGUUUGAGGGUCAGCCUAAAAAAAAUCGACAUAGUCGCUGUUUCGCGGUGACAUUCGCCGGAAAUUGGGUCAUCUUAAAACUUUGGGGUUUAAGCGGCUUAAAAUUUUUUUUACAAUUCCACGAACGUUUCUAAGAUUUACUUCUUACACGUUUAAGGUACUCG